AUGAGUAUUUUUUCUGACUUAGAUCUUAAGACAUUAUUUAAGCCAUGCAAUGGCAUGGGAAUGAAUUAUUAUGGGAAGUUUAUACCCAAUAAGCUAAAAGUGGUUUUGCUCUUGUUUCCAAGGAGAAAUCUUCUUUUUGAAGAGCAUCCAGUAUCACAUCUUUCCAAGAGGUUCAAGGGAAGUAUAAUGGCAGGCGUUGCCAUGCUCUUGUGCUCGGGCCGAUGUGUGGAGAGACCCUUUAAUCUCCUCCAGAACGGAGACGUCCCAGCUUUUCCUCAGGCUUCAGACUUGUUCACAGAGCUCAGCUGUGUGUAUUCCAUCCUUGCACUUCUGAAGACAUUUGAGGAGAACUUUAUCAGCACCGUCUCUGCUUGAACACCUGAAGGAGAUCAUGGGCAUCGUUUUGGGGUUAACCUGCACUUGCAUGUACUGUCAAACAUCUGAUUUAACUUCUAAUGUGAUUGGUUCUUGUGAAAUUAUACAAAAUUGUAUGUUUUAUUUUCUACUUGGUAGUUUUAGUGUGCAUAGAAUUUUUUGUCUUAAUCAUAAACAAUUCCAAAGUUUGUUUUCUCAGAUUUCUCUUUCAUGUCCUUAAUAAACAUUAAGUUCUGGUUCUGUGAACCCAGUUUUUCUUUCAUCCACCUCUUGCUGUGACUGUAUUGAGCCGAGUCUAUCAAAGGCUGUGAAGGAGGCAGCACUCGCCUCACGCUGUACAGCCACUGAUGAGGCAGACGUUUGCCUGCACAGCUGUCUAAAUCUGAAUGGAAACGUCUACUCAGCCAAACCUGUUGCUGUGGACUCCUGGAGGAACUGAUUCUGGGAUUUGGGAAAAGAGAACAAGCUUGGAGAUGCUGAAUCAAGAUCAGCACAAAGACAGAGUUGGAUGAUUAAAGGUGGGAAAAAGCGUGCUCAGAUCAGUCAUUGCUGUUUAGAUCUUGUUCUCUGGAUUGGUUUUCUUGUUCAGUUUAUGUUGCAUUGCUAUCUGAGUUUUUCACUACAUGAUUGUAAAAUGUCAGACUGAAUAAAUCUGUAAUGUAAGACUAAUUCCUGUCAAACUUCUUACGGUCCAUGACAGAUCCCAAAUGUAAAGAUUGUCCCCAAGGUAAGUUGCAUUUUCAGUGAACAACACUGUUUUAUGCUUUUAUGUCUUUGAUGUUUUCACGGGUCCAAGUGGAGCCACAGAGUCUGAAUGUUUUAAACAAUGUAUGUUUUGUGUUAAACUUGUUGAAGCAAACAAACUAAUAUAUACAUUUCUAAUCUGCACAAUGUAAUGAC
Molecule: long non-coding RNA, 1275 nt
Filed under: Oryzias javanicus (javanese ricefish)
Lineage: Eukaryota; Metazoa; Chordata; Actinopteri; Beloniformes; Adrianichthyidae
Description: lncRNA (ENSOJAG00000005161.1)
Source: RNAcentral